GGGGGUGUAGCUCAGCAGUAAAGCACUUGCCUGAUGUAAGAAAGGCCCUGGGUUCCAUCCCUAGCACUGCCA
RNAcentral lists this transfer RNA (72 nucleotides) under Heterocephalus glaber (naked mole-rat). It matches the Rfam family "tRNA". From Rfam's summary of the family: Transfer RNA (tRNA) molecules are approximately 80 nucleotides in length. The record is from Rfam by way of RNAcentral. Lineage: Eukaryota; Metazoa; Chordata; Mammalia; Rodentia; Bathyergidae.